UGGCGCGCGAGCCGCGUUUUCGCGUGCGGCGCCGGUUGCGGGCCGGCGACAUGUGGGCGUUCGACAACCGGCGCGUGCUGCACGCGCGCACCGA
Molecule: transfer RNA, 94 nt
Filed under: Burkholderia cenocepacia
Lineage: Bacteria; Pseudomonadati; Pseudomonadota; Betaproteobacteria; Burkholderiales; Burkholderiaceae
Description: tRNA-Arg(gcg)
Source: RNAcentral